GUUUUAGUGGCUCCAUUUUUACUAGCCUUUGCAAUUUAAAUUAGUAACUAUGGCCGGUGAUUGACUUGAUGGAAUGAAAUUUGUCUGUUAUUCUUACUUUCUUCUUUGGAUUUUUGGUGAUGAUUAUGGCCGUUGCAAUGGUUGGAUUUGGUAUGUUCUUGGUGAUUAUGGCCGAUGAUUGCUUUGAUUCAUGGGUUGCCUCGUGGUUUUCUUUCUUCCUUCUUUAUGUUAGGUGAUGAUUGUGGCCCUUUUUAUUAGAUUUGAUUUAUGGGUGGGAUGAUGAGGUUGUUUGAU
This 294-nucleotide long non-coding RNA is filed under the name Phoenix dactylifera (date palm). RNAcentral describes it as "long non-coding RNA (PDAC_LNC005183)". The record is from RNAcentral. Lineage: Eukaryota; Viridiplantae; Streptophyta; Magnoliopsida; Arecales; Arecaceae.